AAAAGUUCUGCAGGCACAAAGGUUUGGUCCUGGCCUUAUCAUCAACUAUUACUUAACUUACACAUGCAAGUCUCCGCACACCCGUGAGAACGCCCUUUACCCCUUCACCAGGAUAAGGAGCUGGUAUCAGGCACAGACACCUCUUGCCCAUAACACCUAGCCACGCCACGCCCUCAAGGGUAUUCAGCAGUGAUAAACAUUGUUCAUAAGCGCCAGCUUGACUCAGUCAAAGUAAAUAGAGCCGGCCAAUCCGGUGCCAGCCGCCGCGGCUACACCGUUGGGCUCAAGUUGACAAAUAUCGGCGUUAAGCGUGAUUAAAGUGAAACACAAGAUUAGAAUUGAAUUUUAACCAAGUCGUGACACACUUGUUAUAAGGAAACACAAAAACGAAAGUUAUUCUAACACAACCACUUGAACCCACGACAGCUAGGACACAAACUGGGAUUAGGUACCCCACUAUGCCUAGCCGUAAAAUAUUAACUUACACUUAAAACCGCCAGGGAAUUACGAGCCCAAGCUUAAAACCCAAAGGACUUGACGGUGUCCCACCCACCUAGAGGAGCCUGUUCUAUAAUCGAUUCUCCCCGAUAAACCUCACCACUUCUAGCCUACUCAGCCUGUAUACCUCCGUCGUAAGCUUACCAUAUGAACGCUAACUAGUGAGCUUAAAGAUCUAUUCAUCAACACGUCAGGUCAAGGUGCAGCUUACGAAGCGGGAAGCAAUGGGCUACAAUUUCUAACAUAGAACACACGAAAGACUACAUGAAACACAGUCAUGAAGGCGGAUUUAGCAGUAAAAAGAAAAUAGAGAGUUCUUUUUAAUUAGGCGCUGGGACGCGUACACACCGCCCGUCACCCUCUUCAAACGCCCACAAACGUUAAUUAACACCUAACCGCACAAUAGAAGAGGUAAGUCGUAACACGGUAAGCGUACUGGAAAGUGCGCUUGGACUA
RNAcentral lists this ribosomal RNA (954 nucleotides) under Scaphiophryne sp. TNHC 64007. Its description in RNAcentral is "12S ribosomal RNA". It matches the Rfam family "Bacterial small subunit ribosomal RNA". The record is from RNAcentral. Lineage: Eukaryota; Metazoa; Chordata; Amphibia; Anura; Microhylidae.